CUGGAGACCGGCGCACGGGUGCGUAACGCGUAUGCAAUCUGCCUUUCACAAAGGGAUAGCCCAGAGAAAUUUGGAUUAAUACCUUAUAGUAUAUUCUUGUGGCAUCACGGGAUUAUUAAAGAUUUAUCGGUGAAAGAUGAGCAUGCGUCCCAUUAGCUAGUUGGUAAGGUAACGGCUUACCAAGGCGACGAUGGGUAGGGGUCCUGAGAGGGAGAUCCCCCACACUGGUACUGAGACACGGACCAGACUCC
This 251-nucleotide ribosomal RNA is filed under the name uncultured bacterium. RNAcentral's name for it is "partial 16S ribosomal RNA". It matches the Rfam family "Bacterial small subunit ribosomal RNA", at positions 88 to 339 of the family's 1533-position model. The record is from RNAcentral.